GACGAACGCUGGCGGCGUGCCUAAUACAUGCAAGUUGAGCGCUGAAGGUUGGUACUUGUACCAACUGGAUGAGCAGCGAACGGGUGAGUAACGCGUGGGGAAUCUGCCUUUGAGCGGGGGACAACAUUUGGAAACGAAUGCUAAUACCGCAUAAAAACUUUAAACACAAGUUUUAAGUUUGAAAGAUGCAAUUGCAUCACUCAAAGAUGAUCCCGCGUUGUAUUAGCUAGUUGGUGAGGUAAAGGCUCACCAAGGCGAUGAUACAUAGCCGACCUGAGAGGGUGCUCGGCCCCAUUGGGACUGAGACACGGCCCAAACUCCUACGGGAGGCAGCAGUAGGGAAUCUUCGGCAAUGGACGAAAGUCUGACCGAGCAACGCCGCGUGAGUGAAGAAGGUUUUCGGAUCGUAAAACUCUGUUGGUAGAGAAGAACGUUGGUGAGAGUGGAAAGCUCAUCAAGUGACGGUAACUACCCAGAAAGGGACGGCUAACUACGUG
This 497-nucleotide ribosomal RNA is filed under the name uncultured bacterium. RNAcentral describes it as "partial 16S ribosomal RNA". It matches the Rfam family "Bacterial small subunit ribosomal RNA", at positions 28 to 507 of the family's 1533-position model. The record is from RNAcentral.